CGGGUGAGUAACACGUAUCCAACCUGCCGUCUACUCUUGGACAGCCUUCUGAAAGGAAGAUUAAUACAAGAUGGCAUCAUGAGUUCACAUGUUCACAUGAUUAAAGGUAUUCCGGUAGACGAUGGGGAUGCGUUCCAUUAGAUAGUAGGCGGGGUAACGGCCCACCAAGCCGACGAUGUCUAGGGGUUCUGAGAGGAAGGUCCCCCACACUGGAACUGAGACACGGUCCAG
This 231-nucleotide ribosomal RNA is filed under the name uncultured bacterium. RNAcentral describes it as "partial 16S ribosomal RNA". It matches the Rfam family "Bacterial small subunit ribosomal RNA", at positions 103 to 334 of the family's 1533-position model. The record is from RNAcentral.